GACGAACGCUGGCGGCGUGCCUAAUACAUGCAAGUUGAGCGAUGAAGAUUGGUGCUUGCACCAAUUUGAAGAGCAGCGAACGGGUGAGUAACGCGUGGGGAAUCUGCCUUUGAGCGGGGGACAACAUUUGGAAACGAAUGCUAAUACCGCAUAACAACUUUAAACAUAAGUUUUAAGUUUGAAAGAUGCAAUUGCAUCACUCAAAGAUGAUCCCGCGUUGCAUUAGCUAGUUGGUGAGGUAAAGGCUCACCAAGGCGAUGAUACAUAGCCGACCUGAGAGGGUGAUCGGCCACAUUGGGACUGAGACACGGCCCAAACUCCUACGGGAGGCAGCAGUAGGGAAUCUUCGGCAAUAGACGAAAGUCUGACCGAGCAACGCCGCGUGAGUGAAGAAGGUUUUCGGAUCGUAAAACUCUGUUGGUAGAGAAGAACGUUGGUGAGAGUGGAAAGCUCAUCAAGUGACGGUAACUACCCAGAAAGGGACGGCUAACUACGUG
Molecule: ribosomal RNA, 497 nt
Filed under: uncultured bacterium
Lineage: Bacteria
Description: partial 16S ribosomal RNA
Rfam family: Bacterial small subunit ribosomal RNA
Source: RNAcentral